CAAAGGAAUUGACGGGCCCGCACAAGCAGCGGAGCGUGUGGUUAAUUCGAUGUUACACGAAGAACCUUACCAGGGUUUGACAUGCAAGUGGUAGGAAGCCGAAAGGUGACCGACCCUUCGGGGAGCUUGCACAGGUGCUGCAUGGCUGUCGUCAGCUCGUGUCGUGAGAUGUUCGGUUAAGUCCGCUAACGAGCGCAACCCUCGCUGUGUGUUAUAUGUGUCACACGGGACUGCCGGUCUUAAGCCGGAGGAAGGUGGGGAUGAUGUCAAGUCAGCAUGGCCUUUAUAUCCUGGGCUACACACACGCUACAAUGGCCAACACAAUAGGUUGCUAAGCCGCGAGGUGGCGCCAAUCCAUAAAGUUGGUCUCAGUUCAGAUUGUAGGCUGCAACCCGCCUGCAUGAAGAUGGAGUUGCUAGUAACCGCAGGUCAGCUAUACUGCGGUGAAUACGUUCCCGGGGCUU
Molecule: ribosomal RNA, 464 nt
Filed under: uncultured Leptolinea sp.
Lineage: Bacteria; Bacillati; Chloroflexota; Anaerolineae; Anaerolineales; Anaerolineaceae
Description: bacterial SSU rRNA
Rfam family: Bacterial small subunit ribosomal RNA
Source: RNAcentral